Molecule: ribosomal RNA, 741 nt
Filed under: uncultured bacterium
Lineage: Bacteria
Description: bacterial SSU rRNA
Rfam family: Bacterial small subunit ribosomal RNA
Source: RNAcentral
GUAGCAAUACGUUUGUAAAGCGGCGAACGGGUGAGGAAUACAUGGGUAACCUACCCUCAAGUGGGGAAUAACUAGCCGAAAGGUUAGCUAAUACCGCGUACGCUCCUUGGACUUCGGUUCAGGGAGGAAAGCGAUACCGUGGGUAUCGCGCUCUUGGUUGGGCUCAUGUCCUAUCAGCUUGUUGGGGAGGUAACGGCUCACCAAGGCUUCGACGGGUAGCUGGUCUGAGAGGACGAUCAGCCACACUGGCACUGCGACACGGGCCAGACUCCUACGGGAGGCAGCAGUAAGGAAUAUUGCGCAAUGGGCGAAAGCCUGACGCAGCGACGCCGCGUGGGGGAUGAAGGUCUUCGGAUUGUAAACCCCUUUCGGGAGGGAAGAUGGAACGAGCAAUCGUUCGGACGGUACCUCCAGAAGCAGCCACGGCUAACUUCGUGCCAGCAGCCGCGGUAAUACGAAGGUGGCAAGCGUUAUUCGGAUUUACUGGGCGUACAGGGAGCGUAGGCGGUUCGGUAAGCCCUCUGUGAAAUCUCCAGGCUUAACCUGGAACAGUCGGAGGGGACUGCUGGGCUAGAGGACGGGAGAGGAGCGCGGAAUUCCCGGUGUAGCGGUGAAAUGCGUAGAGAUCGGGAGGAAGGCCGGUGGCGAAGGCGGCGCUCUGGAACGUUUCUGACGCUGAGGCUCGAAAGCGUGGGGAGCAAACAGGAUUAGAUACCCUGGUAGUCCACGCCUUAAACUAUG